CCUACGGGAGGCAGCAGUGGGGAAUAUUGCACAAUGGGGGAAACCCUGAUGCAGCGACGCCGCGUGAGUGAAGAAGUAAUUCGUUAUGUAAAGCUCUAUCAGCAGGGAAGUAAAUGACGGUACGUGAGUAAGAAGCCACGGCUAACUACGUGCAAGCAGCCGCGGUAAUACGUAGGGGGCAAGCGUUAUCCGGAUUUACUGGGUGUAAAGGGAGCGUAGACGGCAGGGCAAGUCUGGAGUGAAAGGCUGGGGCUCAACCCCCGGACUGCUCUGGAAACUGUACGGCUGGAGUACAGGCGAGGUAAGUGGAAUUCGUAGUGUAGCGGUGAAAUGCGUAGAUAUUAGGAGGAACACCAGUGGCGAAGGCAGCUUACUGAACUGUAACUGACGUUGAGGCUCGAAAGUGUGGGUAGCAAACAGGAUUAGAUACCCGAGUAGUC
RNAcentral lists this ribosomal RNA (440 nucleotides) under uncultured bacterium. RNAcentral's name for it is "partial 16S ribosomal RNA". It matches the Rfam family "Bacterial small subunit ribosomal RNA", at positions 338 to 795 of the family's 1533-position model. The record is from RNAcentral.